Molecule: ribosomal RNA, 253 nt
Filed under: uncultured bacterium
Lineage: Bacteria
Description: partial 16S ribosomal RNA
Rfam family: Bacterial small subunit ribosomal RNA
Source: RNAcentral
UACGAAGGGGGCUAGCGUUGUUCGGAUUUACUGGGCGUAAAGCGCAUGUAGGCGGAUGGUUAAGUCAGGGGUGAAAUCCCAGAGCUCGACUCUGGAACUGCCUUUGAUACUGGCCAUCUUGAGUCCGGAAGAGGUGAGUGGAACUCCUAGUGUAGAGGUGGAAUUCGUAGAUAUUAGGAAGAACACCAGUGGCGAAGGCGGCUCACUGGUCCGGUACUGACGCUGAGGCUCGAAAGCGUGGGGAGCAAACAGG